AUUGAACGCUGGCGGCAUGCUUUACACAUGCAAGUCGAACGGUAACAGGCCGCAAGGUGCUGACGAGUGGCGAACGGGUGAGUAAUGCAUCGGAACGUGCCCAGUCGUGGGGGAUAACUACUCGAAAGAGUAGCUAAUACCGCAUACGAUCUAUGGAUGAAAGCGGGGGACCGUAAGGCCUCGCGCGAUUGGAGCAGCCGAUGUCAGAUUAGGUAGUUGGUGGGGUAAAGGCUCACCAAGCCAACGAUCUGUAGCUGGUCUGAGAGGACGACCAGCCACACUGGGACUGAGACACGGCCCAGACUCCUACGGGAGGCAGCAGUGGGGAAUUUUGGACAAUGGGCGCAAGCCUGAUCCAGCAAUGCCGCGUGCAGGAAGAAGGCCUUCGGGUUGUAAACUGCUUUUGUACGGAACGAAACGGCUCUGGUUAAUACCCGGGGCUAAUGACGGUACCGUAAGAAUAAGCACCGGCUAACUACGU
This 481-nucleotide ribosomal RNA is filed under the name uncultured bacterium. RNAcentral describes it as "partial 16S ribosomal RNA". It matches the Rfam family "Bacterial small subunit ribosomal RNA", at positions 30 to 506 of the family's 1533-position model. The record is from RNAcentral.